RNAcentral lists this ribosomal RNA (253 nucleotides) under uncultured bacterium. RNAcentral describes it as "partial 16S ribosomal RNA". It matches the Rfam family "Bacterial small subunit ribosomal RNA", at positions 524 to 776 of the family's 1533-position model. The record is from RNAcentral.
UACGUAGGGCGCAAGCGUUGUCCGGAAUUAUUGGGCGUAAAGAGCUCGUAGGCGGCUUGUCGCGUCGGAUGUGAAAGCCCGGGGCUUAACUCCGGGUCUGCAUUCGAUACGGGCAGGCUAGAGUGUGGUAGGGGAGAUCGGAAUUCCUGGUGUAGCGGUGAAAUGCGCAGAUAUCAGGAGGAACACCGGUGGCGGAGGCGGCUACCUGGACAGAAACUGACGCUGAGGCACGAAAGCUAGGGGAGCAAACAGG